AGUGAACGCUGGCGGCAGGCCUAAUACAUGCAAGUCGAACGGCAGCACGGCAGAGCUUGCUCUGUGGGUGGCGAGUGGCGGACGGGUGAGGAAUACAUGGGAAUCUGCCCAGUCGUGGGGGAUAACGUAUGGAAACGUACGCUAAUACCGCAUGCGCCCUACGGGGGAAAGCCGGGGACCUUCGGGCCUGGCGCGAUUGGAUGAGCCCAUGUUCGAUUAGCUAGUUGGGGGGGUAACGGCCCACCAAGGCGACGAUCGAUAGCUGGUCUGAGAGGAUGAUCAGCCACACUGGGACUGAGACACGGCCCAGACUCCUACGGGAGGCAGCAGUAGGGAAUAUUGGACAAUGGGGGCAACCCUGAUCCAGCCAUGCCGCGUGAGUGAAGAAGGCCCUCGGGUUGUAAAGCUCUUUUGUCCGGAAAGAAAAGCAUUCGGUGAAUACCCGGAUGUCCUGACGGUACCGGAAGAAUAAGCACCGGCUAACUUCGUGCCAGCAGCCGCGGUAAUACGAAGGGUGCAAGCGUUACUCGGAAUUACUGGGCGUAAAGCGUGCGUAGGUGGUUCGUUAAGUCUGAUGUGAAAGCCCUGGGCUCAACCUGGGAAUGGCAUUGGAUACUGGCGGGCUGGAGUGCGGU
This 635-nucleotide ribosomal RNA is filed under the name uncultured Thermomonas sp. RNAcentral's name for it is "bacterial SSU rRNA". It matches the Rfam family "Bacterial small subunit ribosomal RNA", at positions 28 to 652 of the family's 1533-position model. The record is from RNAcentral. Lineage: Bacteria; Pseudomonadati; Pseudomonadota; Gammaproteobacteria; Lysobacterales; Lysobacteraceae.